RNAcentral lists this long non-coding RNA (109 nucleotides) under Pongo abelii (Sumatran orangutan). Its description in RNAcentral is "lincRNA". The record is from RNAcentral. Lineage: Eukaryota; Metazoa; Chordata; Mammalia; Primates; Hominidae.
UAAUUUCCAUUAUAUUUUUAAUAUACUGAUGCUAUUCUUACACAAAGUAAAAAGGCUGGGUAAGUUGUGGUCGCGCACACCUGUAAUUCCAGCACUUUGGGAGGCGGAG